UACGUAGGUGGCAAGCGUUGUCCGGAUUUACUGGGCGUAAGGGGCGUGCAGGCGGUCUGUUAAGUUCAGGGUGAAAGCUCCCGGCUCAACUGGGAGAGGUCCUUGGAUACUGGCAGACUUGAGGGAGGUAGAGGAGAGUGGAAUUCCCGGUGUAGCGGUGAAAUGCGCAGAUAUCGGGAAGAACACCCGUGGCGAAGGCGGUUCUCUGGGACGGUACUGACGCUGAGACGCGAAAGCGUGGGGAGCGAACAGG
RNAcentral lists this ribosomal RNA (253 nucleotides) under uncultured bacterium. Its description in RNAcentral is "partial 16S ribosomal RNA". It matches the Rfam family "Bacterial small subunit ribosomal RNA", at positions 524 to 776 of the family's 1533-position model. The record is from RNAcentral.